GCGUCCCCAGGACGGGGGAGACCACCCACCGAGU
RNAcentral lists this ribosomal RNA (34 nucleotides) under Papilionanthe subulata. RNAcentral's name for it is "partial 26S ribosomal RNA". Lineage: Eukaryota; Viridiplantae; Streptophyta; Magnoliopsida; Asparagales; Orchidaceae. The record is from RNAcentral.